Molecule: ribosomal RNA, 470 nt
Filed under: uncultured Anaerolineaceae bacterium
Lineage: Bacteria; Bacillati; Chloroflexota; Anaerolineae; Anaerolineales; Anaerolineaceae
Description: bacterial SSU rRNA
Rfam family: Bacterial small subunit ribosomal RNA
Source: RNAcentral
AAACGUUAAAGAAUUGACGGGACCCGCACAAGCAGCGGAGCGUGUGGUUUAAUUCGUUGCUACACGAAGAACCUUACCUGGGUUUGACAUAUAGGUUGUAGGGAACUGAAAAGGGACCGACCCUUCGGGGAGCCUAUACAGGUGUUGCAUGGCUGUCGUCAGCUCGUGUCGUGAGAUGUUCGGUUAAGUCCGCUAACGAGCGCAACCUUCGUCGUAUGUUAUAUGUGUCAUACGAGACUGCCGGUAAAAGCCGGAGGAAGGUGAGGAUGAUGUCAAGUCAGCAUGACCUUUAUAUCCAGGGCUACACACACGCUACAAUGGUCUGUACAAUGGGUAGCCAAGCCGCGAGGCGGAGCCAAUCCUGAAAGCAGGCCUCAGUUCAGAUUGCAGUCUGCAACUCGACUGCAUGAAGCCGGAGUUGCUAGUAACCGCAGGUCAGCAAUACUGCGGUGAAUACGUUCCCGGGUCUU